RNAcentral lists this ribosomal RNA (382 nucleotides) under uncultured bacterium. RNAcentral describes it as "bacterial SSU rRNA". It matches the Rfam family "Bacterial small subunit ribosomal RNA", at positions 28 to 401 of the family's 1533-position model. The record is from RNAcentral.
GAUGAACGCUAGCUACAGGCUUAACACAUGCAAGUCGAGGGGCAGCAUGCUGAUAGCUUGCUAUCAGUGAUGGCGACCGGCGCACGGGUGAGUAACGCGUAUCCAACCUGCCUGUCACUCAGGAAUAGCCCGGUGAAAACCGGAUUAAGUCCUGAUGAUAUCAUUAGAGGGCAUCUGACGAUGAUUAAAGGUUACGGUGACGGAUGGGGAUGCGUCUGAUUAGCUUGUUGGCGGGGUAACGGCCCACCAAGGCGACGAUCAGUAGGGGUUCUGAGAGGAAGGUCCCCCCACAUUGGAACUGAGACACGGUCCAAACUCCUACGGGAGGCAGCAGUGAGGAAUAUUGGUCAAUGGGCGCAAGGCCUGAACCAGCCAAGUAGCG